RNAcentral lists this ribosomal RNA (425 nucleotides) under uncultured bacterium. RNAcentral's name for it is "partial 16S ribosomal RNA". It matches the Rfam family "Bacterial small subunit ribosomal RNA", at positions 354 to 796 of the family's 1533-position model. The record is from RNAcentral.
GUGGGGAAUAUUGGACAAUGGGCGCAAGCCUGAUCCAGCAAUGCCGCGUGGGUGAAGAAGGUCUUCGGAUCGUAAAGCCCUUUCGACAGGGACGAUGAUGACGGUACCUGUAGAAGAAGCCCCGGCUAACUUCGUGCCAGCAGCCGCGGUAAUACGAAGGGGGCUAGCGUUACUCGGAAUUACUGGGCGUAAAGGGCGCGUAGGCGGCUCUGUGAGUCAGGCGUGAAAUUCCUGGGCUUAACCUGGGGACUGCGCUUGAUACUGCAGGGCUUGAGGCCGAGAGAGGGUGGUGGAAUUCCCAGUGUAGAGGUGAAAUUCGUAGAUAUUGGGAAGAACACCGGUGGCGAAGGCGACCACCUGGCUCGGUACUGACGCUGAGGCGCGACAGCGUGGGGAGCAAACAGGAUUAGAUACCCUGGUAGUCC